GACGAACGCUGGCGGCGUGCUUAACACAUGCAAGUCGAGCGGUAAGGCCCUUUCGGGGGUACACGAGCGGCGAACGGGUGAGUAACACGUGGGUGACCUGCCCUCAGCUCUGGGAUAAGCCUGGGAAACCGGGUCUAAUACUGGAUAUGACUCCAUGACGCAUGUUGUGGGGUGGAAAGCCUUGUGCGGCUGAGGAUGGGCCCGCGGCCUAUCAGCUUGUUGGUGGGGUGAGGCCUACCAAGGCGACGACGGGUAGCCGGCCUGAGAGGGCGACCGGCCACACUGGGACUGAGACACGGCCCCAGACUCCUACGGGAGGCAGGCAGUGGGGAAUCUUGGCGCAAUGGGCGAAAAGCCUGACGCAGCGACGCCGCGUGAGGGAUGGACGGCCUGG
This 394-nucleotide ribosomal RNA is filed under the name uncultured bacterium. RNAcentral describes it as "bacterial SSU rRNA". It matches the Rfam family "Bacterial small subunit ribosomal RNA", at positions 28 to 420 of the family's 1533-position model. The record is from RNAcentral.